UGUGCCAUUGGGCUUCGUCUCAUGCUGACU
RNAcentral lists this non-coding RNA (30 nucleotides) under Rattus norvegicus (Norway rat). Lineage: Eukaryota; Metazoa; Chordata; Mammalia; Rodentia; Muridae. The record is from RNAcentral.